This is a long non-coding RNA of Girardinichthys multiradiatus, 925 nucleotides long. RefSeq lists it as uncharacterized. The transcript has 3 exons. Lineage: Eukaryota; Metazoa; Chordata; Actinopteri; Cyprinodontiformes; Goodeidae. The record is from RefSeq and is a predicted model, not a curated record.
UUUCACAUUUAAAAACUCAUUUGAAGGAAGGUAAAGGUGUAACCUGUCCAUUUAAAAAGUGCAAAAGAACUUUUACUAUUUUGUCUACAUUCACAUCACGUUUUUGUUGUGGGUAAUCAUAUGUUGUGACUUCACUUUUACAGAGGUGUGCUACAGCUGCAGAUCUUGAAGGAACACACAACCUGCCGCCAAGUCCAUGACUCAUUGCCCUUGAAACAGACGGCAGUGAACCCACGUCUCCACUCUCCCCUGCCAAAUCAUGGACUACCAGUGGAACUUUUAAAAUGCAACCCUUUGAAUUAUUUGGAGCAGCAGCAGGACCUGGAUCAGUCUACCUUAUUUUCAGAGGUGUGUUCAGGACUCAUUACUCGUUCUCGUUGGUUUUGUUUGGCUGUUCACAACGUUUUUAACUGGCUAACAUUUUAAAGAUGUACCAGCAUGGUUCUUAUGCAGUGUGUAUGUGAUUUAAAUAUUUUACAGUUCUGGAUUAGUUUGAUGAAGACAACAGAGUAUUGAAAUUGCUUAUAUUCCUAAACUUUAUUCCCUGUUGCAUUGUCCAUUAUUUUUCCAUCCAUCCAUCCGGUCCGGAAAUUUUACAUUACAAGCUUGUAAAGCUUUGUUCUUAUACCUUUGGUUGACAAGCUGUUUUUUUUUUUGUAACUUUUAACCUUUGGCACUUCUACUUUUCUGGUUAUUUAACAGCUUGUGUGCAUUAUGUUGGAACCAUGGGAGUUAUGCAUUUAAAACGGUGUAUGAAUAUAUAUUUUUCAGUCAAUUCUUGACUAUUUUUACAUUCAGGUUGCAAUACCUUUUGACAUUUAUGUCAAAAGCAAAUGUUGCUGUUCUUUAAAAAUGUAAUAUUUUGUUGCACUGCUGUGUGUCGGUUUUAAACAUUAACACUGAAAUAAAGUAUGUUUAAAAUGUA